ACGCACGCUGGCGGCAGGCCUAACACCUGCAAGUCGAGCGCGCCCUUCGGGGUGAGCGGCGGACGGGUGAGUAACGCGUGGGAACGUGCCCUUUUCUACGGAAUAGCCUCGGGAAACUGAGAGUAAUACCGUAUACGCCCUUUGGGGGAAAGAUUUAUCGGAAAAGGAUCGGCCCGCGUUGGAUUAGGUAGUUGGUGGGGUAAUGGCCUACCAAGCCGACGAUCCAUAGCUGGUUUGAGAGGAUGAUCAGCCACACUGGGACUGAGACACGGCCCAGACUCCUACGGGAGGCAGCAGUGGGGAAUCUUAGACAAUGGGGGCAACCCUGAUCUAGCCAUGCCGCGUGAGUGAUGAAGGCCUUAGGGUUGUAAAGCUCUUUCAGCUGGGAAGAUAAUGACGGUACCAGCAGAAGAAGCCCCGGCUAACUCCGUG
This 432-nucleotide ribosomal RNA is filed under the name uncultured bacterium. RNAcentral's name for it is "partial 16S ribosomal RNA". It matches the Rfam family "Bacterial small subunit ribosomal RNA", at positions 29 to 507 of the family's 1533-position model. The record is from RNAcentral.